GAGAUGGCACUUUGAGCAGGUUUUUCAUUUGUCUUGUUGUAGACUUUGUAAUUCAAUGAUCCUUGCUCUUAUUAAUGCAUUUGAAAUGUUGGCUAUUAAUUGGUGAGCUAUUACCUAUAAAAAAAAAGAUUGGUGCGCUGGAUUUACCUAUUGAUUCACAUUUCUCAUUUUUGUUUCGUAUGCAUCUAAAGUUGAUUUUGUUGGUUGGAUGAUUGCAGGUAUUGUUUACCAGAAUGUU
RNAcentral lists this unclassified non-coding RNA (238 nucleotides) under Hevea brasiliensis (rubber tree). Lineage: Eukaryota; Viridiplantae; Streptophyta; Magnoliopsida; Malpighiales; Euphorbiaceae. The record is from RNAcentral.